This 1154-nucleotide long non-coding RNA is filed under the name Panax ginseng (ginseng). RNAcentral's name for it is "long non-coding RNA (PGIN_LNC015810)". Lineage: Eukaryota; Viridiplantae; Streptophyta; Magnoliopsida; Apiales; Araliaceae. The record is from RNAcentral.
UUUUUAAUCAUUUUUCAAAGGAUUUGCUGCCUCACCUAUUAGUACUUUUUUGGUUUAAAUAUAUUUUAUUAUUCUAAAUUAUUUGACAUUUUUCACUUUGGUAAUUCAUUUUUAAAUUUUUUAAUUAAAUAAUUCAAUUAUUAAUUUGAUCCGAUUAAAGUUAUAACGUCAGAAAUUGCUAACAUAACUAUUUGGGUGAGAGAAAGCAACUGAUGUAGGUAAAAAAAAAUAAUUUUUUAUUUUGAAAUUAAACAUCAGUGAUAAGUAUAUUGAAGGUUAAAAUAUGAACACCACUUUCAUUUAUACAUUCAGAAACCCUAGUCUCAUAAAAUCAAAAUUUUCCAUGUUGAUAGUAAAUUCGUUCUUUCUCUCUCCUCUUCCACCGUCGCCUCCACCUCCUUCACGGCUCUGCCGUCGUAACUCAUCGAUGCCUCACUCUCCAUCGCCACCAGAUCCGACUCCCUCACUGAUCCCCCCAAAAAACCUCCGACCCAGCAAACCCAAACGGUGGCGAAAAGAUCGACCAAAUACCUAAAAGCAGAACAAUAAAACCAGAUACGAAAACAAGCAACAGCUCAGAUGAUAAUGAAUUUAACGAUGAAUUGUGCGACGCCACCGGGAAGGGCGAGAGACUUGAAGGAUAUGCAUAUGGGUAUGCCGUUUCUUCUUCUUCUCUUCCUUUUUUCUCAAAAUCGGAGAUGAUUUAUUUUCUGAUAGCAGUGAUUGAGCACAAACAUAUUUGGGUUGAUGGGUUUGUCCUUCCUCUUUUCUUUCACUUUCCUUAAUUAGGGAUGAGAGAUGAUAUUUUAUGAGUAAUAGGGCUUCAAGUGGUGGUGAUAAUGGAGUUUUCUAAUCGGUGGUGAUGGUGGAGUUUCUAAUCGGUGGCGGUCCACUGGUGGUGGAGAUAUUUUGGAUUUUUAUGGCAUACUGUUUGUGAAUAUGAUAAAUAAUGGUGUUUUUGUUAGUGAUGGAGUUGGUGGAUCGAUGACGCUGACCUUUCAUUCUCCCAUUUGAAUAUGAGUUUGUAUUUACUUUAAGAUUAAGUUAAAUUGAUUAGCUUGAUCAUAUUGGGUUUUUUAUUUUGAUUAAUUAAUUAAUUUUGUUUGGUCCAGACUAAAUGGGUGAGAAACUGAUUUGGUUUGAUUUUAUUAAUU